UACGUCUAUGAGUAAUGAGGUAAUAUGGGUUUUCUUCAGGAAACCAACCAACAGGAUUUCAGAUAUCAGACUUAUCUGAAGACCUUGCUCCAAAGGAUAGAUGUCCACCCCAAGACUAACUCCUCCCUGUAAUCUUGAAGAAUUACUGCCAAUCAAUGUUAAUAGUAAUGGGCUACUGGAAGUAUGCUAUUGUCAUGUGCAAGGAAGGCUGAAUUGGUGAAACACACAGUUUUGUGCCAUUUUCAAUAAACAGAAUUGCCUCUCAUCUGAUCAGGAACUCCACAACGAGGCUUCUUCAUCCAGCUUUAAAUAAACAAAUAAAGAAAUCAGUACCAUAUGAUGACAAUAACUUCAUAAUGCCAUUGGCAUCUGCUGACGCAUCUGAUAUAUAACAACCUAUCAUACUUCUUAGUGGCAAGACAUUAUUUUACACUUUUCCAUAUAGUUCCAGAUUAACAUUAAUAAAUAGCAAAUCCUCAUGGAAUCCCCAAAUGAGGAAGUAG
Candoia aspera is the source of this 503-nucleotide long non-coding RNA. RefSeq lists it as uncharacterized. The transcript has 3 exons. The record is from RefSeq and is a predicted model, not a curated record. Lineage: Eukaryota; Metazoa; Chordata; Lepidosauria; Squamata; Candoiidae.